AUGGCCCGGCGCCCGUGCUUCUGCUACUUCGUUGCCCACAACCGCCGGCCUCCCGCGCCCAUCUCCUUGCUCAGACCGCCCCUCGCCGCGGCUGCACCCUGCAGGAGCUCCCGCUGGAACCCACUAUCUUCUGCCAAAGCUCCUCUGCUCCGCCCGUCCUUUGUCCCGCCUCCACCAGCGGACCGCCCCGACCUCGUCGUCAUCCAUGUGACCAAGCCCAGGCCGCACCCCGCCUUCCACUGCCUCGCCAGUGACCUCCUCCGUACUGGAUCCAGCCUCAACGACCCAUCCCCGACCUCCAUGUUCGACUCCUCGCCGGAUCCAGAGGUCCUCGUCGUGCCCCUGCCUCGCUGCGUUCUGCACCGGAGUUCCCCUACCGACGCCUUUGUUCAGUCACCUCGCAAAGGGAGCGACCAGCAGCACAAGCCGCAUGGAGCCACAACCAAAACCUGCCUUGUUGACCAAGGCCCUAGUCAAGCCGUCAAGACCGGCAAGACCGACUACAUGAAACUUCCAAGUACCUCUACACACAAAUGCGUCGAGACCGCCCCGGAUAUCGACAAGUACACCACCAGCAAGACCACAUAG
This 588-nucleotide ribosomal RNA is filed under the name Triticum aestivum (bread wheat). Its description in RNAcentral is "partial small subunit ribosomal RNA". The record is from RNAcentral. Lineage: Eukaryota; Viridiplantae; Streptophyta; Magnoliopsida; Poales; Poaceae.